This 531-nucleotide ribosomal RNA is filed under the name uncultured bacterium. Its description in RNAcentral is "bacterial SSU rRNA". It matches the Rfam family "Bacterial small subunit ribosomal RNA", at positions 355 to 899 of the family's 1533-position model. The record is from RNAcentral.
UGGGGAAUCUUGGACAAUGGGGGCAACCCUGAUCCAGCCAUGCCGCGUGAGUGAUGAAGGCCUUAGGGUCGUAAAGCUCUUUCGCCUGUGAAGAUAAUGACGGUAGCAGGUAAAGAAACCCCGGCUAACUCCGUGCCAGCAGCCGCGGUAAUACGGAGGGGGUUAGCGUUGUUCGGAAUUACUGGGCGUAAAGCGCACGUAGGCGGACCAGAAAGUUGGGGGUGAAAUCCCGGGGGCUCAACCCCGGAACUGCCUCCAAAACUAUUGGUCUAGAGUUCGAGAGAGGUGAGUGGAAUUCCAAGUGUAGAGGUGAAAUUCGUAGAUAUUUGGAGGAACACCAGUGGCGAAGGCGGCUCACUGGCUCGAUACUGACGCUGAGGUGCGAAAGUGUGGGGAGCAAAACAGGAUUAGAUACCCCUGGUAGUCCACACCGUAAAACGAUGAAUGCCAGUCGUCGGGUAGCAUGCUAUUCGGUGACACACCUAACGGAUUAAGCAUUCCGGCCUGGGGAGUACGGUCGCAAGAUUAAAA